CACGUAAGAAUCUACCUUUCGGUUGGGGAUAACUUCUGGAAACGGGAGCUAAUACCCAAUAUGCUGUGGAGUGAAAGAAUUUCGCCGAGAGACGAUCUUGCGUCUGAUUAGCUUGUUGGGGUGGUAAUGGCACACCAAGGCGACGAUCAGUAGCUGGUCUGAGAGGAUGGACAGCCACAUUGGGACUGAGACACGGCCCAGACUCCUACGGGAGGCAGCAGUGGGGAAUUUUCCGCAAUGGACGAAAGUCUGACGGAGCGACGCUGCGUGAAGGAUGAAGGCCCGUGGGUUGUAAACUUC
This 300-nucleotide ribosomal RNA is filed under the name uncultured bacterium. RNAcentral describes it as "bacterial SSU rRNA". It matches the Rfam family "Bacterial small subunit ribosomal RNA", at positions 114 to 433 of the family's 1533-position model. The record is from RNAcentral.